Molecule: non-coding RNA, 1940 nt
Organism: Equus caballus (horse)
Lineage: Eukaryota; Metazoa; Chordata; Mammalia; Perissodactyla; Equidae
Source: RefSeq, a predicted model, not a curated record
GCGCCGAGUCAGACCCGGGGAUCCCGUGCGUGGGAGGUGCGCAGGCGGCGGCCGGGCUAGGGGUGUUUCACCAGUAAAACUGCCAGCUUUCUGCAGAUACUUCAGCAAAGGGUGGGGGUGCGGGGCGCGCCUGAAGCCCGAGUGUUAUUUUUGCAGUCCGUGAAAACGUUCUCGCGUACCACAGAUUGAGGAUAGAUACCUGUUUGGCGGAUAGAGCCAUAGCACACCACAGCAACUACCCCGAGAGGGCCCAGGCUCUUCUCAAUAGACACAAACUCUGCUCGCCACAUCUGUUCUCGGGAGGGCCAAGAUGCGUUGAGGAGUAAGCAGUGGGAUGUGUGGUGCCCAAUGAUAGGAGGAGAGAUUUAGGGCGUCGAAGAAAGUAUCCAGCAAAGGCUCUUCCCUUCCUAUUCCUGUAGAGAUUUCUGCUGUGAUAGGUGUUUACUUUGUGAUCAAAGUGGAAAUGGCUUAAGUUACCCUUCAAGAAAUGCUUACCUUUUAAUAGAUUCUUGAAGUUCUCAAGGAAAGAGGAUGUUAAAAGAUAGAACGUUGGCAGGGACGUGGGAACUGCAAGAGGGCCAGCCCAUCGCCCGCCAAAUCACACCUAUUAUUGCCAACCGCACCUACCUGUAAGACUCAGUGCGCCUGUCAAUGGGUAUAUCUCAGACUUUACACUGCAUGACUCAAUCAGCCUACACCAGGACAAGUGCACUGUCAGCGCCUUCAAUAAACCAAGUUCUAGAAGAGUCUGAGGAUUUGGACAACACUAAUCAACCAAGCCAGAAGCACCCUUGCAGGACUCUACAUACACUCUUGACAUAUAUGACACGGAGAUGGAUCUGAAUAAGAAAAGGUUAGAGGAAGAGAGCUACUCCACCAUGACUCCACAGAAUUUUGCUAAGUCAUUCUAGCUACUCACCAACAUUUGUUUGCAAAGGUGAGAUCUGGCCACCUUGCCCCUAGAAGCAUAAGGCACAUACAUGGAGUUGGGAUAUGAGAGUCUAGCUUGUUUUUCAGAACAUUUCUAUGCCUCCAAAAGCCUGGAAUAGGAACCAAGAAAAACGCUUCUCCUUAAUGUGCUUGGAAAGGUAUGAUACCAGCUCUGCUCUGGAUAAGAAGGGGGAGAAUUGAGCCGGAAUUAAAAUGUUAUAACAUUAAAUUAAAAGUAAUUAAAAUGUUUAUAACAUUAAAAUGUUAUAGUCACAAUCACAUUACCAAGUGCAGUAUCAUCUAGGAUAAAUCUGUUUUUGAAUGAAAACUCCCCUCAAAGGCAGCUGUUUCAAUUUAAUGCCAGUUUUUCUCACUCUGUCACAUGUAGUUUUCUGGUGAUAGAAGAGAUAUGAAAAUAGAAGAUUGAAAGAACAAUGUGAAAUUAAAUAUAAAAGCAUGACAUUUAAUUGUCAGCGAUGUUAAGUACAUAUCUAAAACUAAAUCAUGUGUAUCUGUCUUCAAUAACUUAAAUUCCCAAAGCAUGUCUGAAAAUGCCUUGCGUGGAGUUGAAUGUUGAAUUUAGUAUGUGGUGAGUAAAAUCGAGGGAGAGCUCAGGCCUGAGCUGUAACCUCCUCAGUAAUAUUAAACAACUACUAGGAAAUAAUUUACUUUUCUCCCUUAUUGUCUGCUAAUUGAAUGUUUGUGUUCCCCCAGAAUUCAUAUGUUGAAACCUAAUCCCCCAUAUGAUGGCAUUUGAAGGUGGGGGUCUUUGAGACGUGAUUACAUCAUAAGGAUGGACCCUUCAUGAGCUUAAUGCCCUUAUAAAAGAGACCCCGGAAAGCUCCCUUGCCCCUUCCACCGUGAGAGGACACAGUGAAAAGGCCACCGUCUAUGAACCAGGAAGUGGGCUCUCAUCAGACACUGAACCUGCUGGGGCCUUGAUCUUGGACUCCAGAUCUGUGAUAAAUAAAUUUAUGUUGUUUAUAAGCCACCCAGGCUAUGGUAUUUUG